UCUGUGGUAUUUGGGGAUGGCAGCCCGAGCUAAGACAGGUGGUUGGAGAGGGCUUCAUGCAGAAGUAGACCUUUGAGCUGCACCUUGAAAGAUGAGCAGGGAUUUGCUGGAAGGAUGGGCAGACAGAAUGGCAGGUGCAAAGGUGGAGAGGCUGCGAGUGCAUGGCAUGCUCUGGUGAUAAAGGACAAGAUGUGUGCCAGGCUGGAGUGCAGGGAUUGCUGGGGAGGGGCCUAGAUAAGGCUGGAUCCACAGACAGCGCUGGGUUCACGGCCAAGGCCACUUCUGGUAAGGACAGAGCCUAUCUCAAAAGCAUUUGCCGUUCAGCUCUUAGCAGGUGAGCACUGUGAUCCAGUUUGGACUCCUGAAAGGAGACUGUGGUAGGAGCUAGAGACCAGAGGGUGGACCACAGGAAAGAACAAUGGAGAUCUGAGGUCCCGAGGCCCCCGGCGGGGGGGGGGGGGGGGGGAGGGUGGAGGAAAGGAUGGAUUUGAAUGUCAGGACUUAGAGUCUGGGUAGGAGCUGAAAGCCUGGUUUAUGCGGCGGAGGGGGGUGGGGGGGGGAGUGAUGGGGGUGGAUAGAGUCGCUGCUCCAAAAAACCCUCAGGGACACCUACCUGUCUGCUUUGUGGCUCUGGAGAAGAGGACAGUCGCCCAGGAAUGGCCUUCAGGAUCUACCGGGCCGUAUUCUAGUUUUCCCUGUUGCAAGAGAACAUGUGGGGACAGGAGAAAGCCAGUCGUGGUCUCUGGGUGGAUCUGUGGGGCUGAGCUGUGGGAGCGUCCAGGAGCCUGGAGCAGGAGUCUUGGAGCUCUCCGAGCCCUGACAAGACCUGGCUACAGCUCCUGGGGGCCAGAGGAGAGAAGAGGCUCUGUCCCUGGCUGUCCUUUGUACAAGGGAGAAAAUCAGCAACAGAGCUUAAUGGAUAUAAGAUCGGUCACUGGAAGCAGGACUAAUUAAGAUAAUUAUGAGGCCUAACGAAGAUAAGACAGAAGACAAGAACUACACUUUCCAGGACAAUUUGAGCUCUGACUAGAAGCCAUGAGUAUCUCAUACAAUAUGUCUAACAGCGAUUCAGUAAAAUAUCCCCAAAGAUCCUCCUAAAACGUAGACACGCAAAACACAGCGCAAUUUACUCUAUGGAUACUUUAUGGACAAGUGCACUGGUGAAUGAGUUUUACACUUACUCGUUUUAUGUUUUAGAUAUUGGCAGGUAUAGUGUAUGAACUCAAGGGACAGUCAAGCAAGAGUCUAGUGUUUCUUACCAACAGUCUCUGGGCACUUGGAGAAACCAUUUUUAUCCCUUAUUAAAUUAUAUACACCCCAUCCCAGCAGGAGGCCUGGUGAUAUGCGGGAUCCUUCAGACCUGUUACAAUCCCUCCCACACCACUUCCUAGCUGGGUGACCUUGGGCAAGUUGAAUAUCUCUGAACCUCUCUCUUACUUCUGUGCACGCAUGCAUUUCUGGCUUGUUCUAGGGCAAAGCACACAGAAGUCCCACGAGGCAUAACUGACUGCAUCAGCAGGAGCUAGAAAUUAUGGAGCUGUUAGGAAAUGUAACUAGAUUAUACGUAUACCAUGUGAAAUUGUAACCGGGAGGAUUCUGAUCUGUAGAAGACCUAUGCUGUCAGGUUCAUGAGAACCAGCUGGUUUCCAGUUUUCUCUUAAUUUUCUUUGACUGUGAUGUGUGUAUGUUUUUUCCCCUCCUUGUUUGUUUAUCGCAUCUGCUUGCAACUGCUAGCAGAUAAACAGUAGCAGGCACCAAAAAUUUUAGAAAGAGAAAACUGAGCUGAAAUUUAAAAUUCAUGGAUGCCUGGGUGGCUCAGUGGAUUAA
This is a long non-coding RNA of Mustela erminea (ermine), 1827 nucleotides long. RefSeq lists it as uncharacterized. The record is from RefSeq and is a predicted model, not a curated record. The transcript is spliced from 3 exons. Lineage: Eukaryota; Metazoa; Chordata; Mammalia; Carnivora; Mustelidae.